RNAcentral lists this unclassified non-coding RNA (288 nucleotides) under Glomeraceae sp. RNAcentral describes it as "partial contains 5.8S ribosomal RNA and internal transcribed spacer 2". The stretch from base 1 to 71 matches the Rfam family "5.8S ribosomal RNA", at positions 84 to 154 of the family's 154-position model. The record is from RNAcentral. Lineage: Eukaryota; Fungi; Glomeromycota; Glomeromycetes; Glomerales; Glomeraceae.
GUGAAUCAUCAAAUCUUUGAACGCAAAUUGCACUCUCUGGUAUUCCGGUGAGUAUGCCUGUUUGAGGGUCAGUUUAAAUGAAAAUCUGUGUUGUUGCUGCCUUUCGUGGUUACGCACCGGAUUUAGUUUGUCGUUCCUUCGGUUAAGUAACCUAAAAUUUUGCGUGAUUUUUUCGAACGUUUUUUAAUUAUUUUACGUACGUCUUGGAUAUCGUAUUCUAUGUGCGGUCAUCCUCAUGAUACGCGCCUAUAAUUUCACAUCACAAUUAUCUCAAAUCAGGUAAGAGUA